GAUGAAGAACGUAGCGAAAUGCGAUAAGUAAUGUGAAUUGCAGAAUUCAGUGAAUCAUCGAAUCUUUGAACGUACAUUGCGCCCGCCAGUAUUCUGGCGGGCAUGCCUGUUCGAGCGUCAUUACAACCCUCAGGCCCCCGGGCCUGGCGUUGGGGAUCGGCGGAAGCCCCCUGCGGGCACAACGCCGUCCCCCAAAUACAGUGGCGGUCCCGCCGCAGCUUCCAUUGCGUAGUAGCUAACACCUCGCAACUGGAGAGCGGCGCGGCCACGCCGUAAAACACCCAACUUCUGAAUGUUGACCUCGAAUCAGGUAGGAAUACCCGCUGAACUUAAGCAUAUCAAUAAGCGGAGGA
Molecule: unclassified non-coding RNA, 353 nt
Filed under: soil metagenome
Description: partial contains 5.8S ribosomal RNA, internal transcribed spacer 2, and large subunit ribosomal RNA
Rfam family: 5.8S ribosomal RNA (bases 1-120)
Source: RNAcentral